GAUGAACGCUAGCGGCAGGCCUAACACAUGCAAGUCGAACGGUAACAGGAAUUAGCUUGCUAAUUUGCUGACGAGUGGCGCACGGGUGCGUAACGCGUAUGCAACUUACCUCUAACAGGA
This 120-nucleotide ribosomal RNA is filed under the name uncultured bacterium. RNAcentral's name for it is "partial 16S ribosomal RNA". It matches the Rfam family "Bacterial small subunit ribosomal RNA", at positions 28 to 140 of the family's 1533-position model. The record is from RNAcentral.